RNAcentral lists this ribosomal RNA (406 nucleotides) under uncultured bacterium. Its description in RNAcentral is "partial 16S ribosomal RNA". It matches the Rfam family "Bacterial small subunit ribosomal RNA", at positions 29 to 526 of the family's 1533-position model. The record is from RNAcentral.
AUUGAACGCUGGCGGCAGGCCUAACACAUGCAAGUCGAACGAGUGGCGGACGGGUGAGUAAUGUCUGGGAAACUGCCUGAUGGAGGGGGAUAACUACUGGAAACGGUAGCUAAUCCCGCAUACCAUAGGAUGGGGCCAGAUGGGACUAGCUAGUUGGUGGGGUAACGGCUCACCAAGGAGACGAUCCCUAGCUGGGCAGAGAGGAUGACCAGCCACACUGGAACUGAGACACGGUCCAGCCGCCUACGGUAGGCAGCAGUGGGGAAUAUUGCACAAUGGGCGCAAGCCUGAUGCAGCCAUGCCGCGUGUAUGAAGAAGGCCUUCGGGUUGUAAAGUACUUUCAGCGGGGAGGCGUUACCCGCAGAAGAAGCACCGGCUAACUCCGUGCCAGCAGCCGCGGUAAUAC